AAACCAACAGGGAUUGCCUCAGUAACGGCGAGUGAAGCGGCAAAAGCUCAAAUUUGAAACCGUUCGCGGGUUGUAAUUUGUAGAGUGUCUUGUGACAUUGGCAUAAGUACCUUGGAACAGGUCGUCAUAGAGGGUGAGAAUCCCGUUGCCUACGUCGUUAUACUUGAUACUCCAAGAGUCGAGUUGUUUGGGAAUGCAGCUCUAAUUGGGUGGUAAAAUCCAUCUAAAGCUAAAUAUUGGCGAGAGACCGAUAGCGAACAAGUACAGUGAUGGAAAGAUGAAAAGAACUUUGAAAAGAGAGUGAAAAAGUACGUGAAAUUGUUGAAAGGGAAGGGUAUGCUGGGAGUCUUUGAGUUGUUGUUCAGCGGUUCUUCGGGGCCGUGUAUUCAGCCUCUCUUUGGAGCCACGGCGGUUUUUGUGCGGAUAAAGCUGUUUCCUUCGGGUUUCAUCAAUACGCACAUUUGCCGUCCUGUCUCCGUAAUCCCAACAUACCACCCGUCUUG
Molecule: ribosomal RNA, 503 nt
Filed under: Limtongella siamensis
Lineage: Eukaryota; Fungi; Ascomycota; Dipodascomycetes; Dipodascales; Trichomonascaceae
Description: Saccharomycetales sp. NS-2019a partial large subunit ribosomal RNA
Rfam family: Eukaryotic large subunit ribosomal RNA
Source: RNAcentral